AUUGAACGCUGGCGGCAGGCCUAACACAUGCAAGUCGAGCGGAUGAAGGGAGCUCGCUCCUGGAUUCAGCGGCGGACGGGUGAGUAAUGCCUAGGAAUCUGCCUGGUAGUGGGGGAUAACGUCCGGAAACGGGCGCUAAUACCGCAUACGUCCUGAGGGAGAAAGUUGGGGAUCUUCGGACCUCACGCUAUCAGAUGAGCCUAGGUCGGAUUAGCUAGUUGGUGGGGUAAAGGCCUACCAAGGCGACGAUCCGUAACUGGUCUGAGAGGAUGAUCAGUCACACUGGAAGUGAGACACGGUCCAGACUCCUAAGGGAGGCAGCAGUGGGGAAUAUUGGACAAUGGGCGAAAGCCUGAUCCAGCCAUGCCGCGUGUGUGAAGAAGGUCUUCGGAUUGUAAAGCACUUUAAGUUGGGAGGAAGGGCAGUAAGUUAAUACCUUGCUGUUUUGACGUUACCAACAGAAUAAGCACCGGCUAACUUCGUG
Molecule: ribosomal RNA, 484 nt
Filed under: uncultured bacterium
Lineage: Bacteria
Description: partial 16S ribosomal RNA
Rfam family: Bacterial small subunit ribosomal RNA
Source: RNAcentral